AGCGAACGCUGGCGGCAGGCCUAACACAUGCAAGUCGAACGAACCUUUCGGGGUUAGUGGCGGACGGGUGAGUAACACGUGGGAACGUGCCUUUAGGUUCGGAAUAACUCAGGGAAACUUGUGCUAAUACCGAAUGUGCCCUUCGGGGGAAAGAUUUAUCGCCUUUAGAGCGGCCCGCGUCUGAUUAGCUAGUUGGUUGAGGUAAUGGCUCACCAAGGCGACGAUCAGUAGCUGGUCUGAGAGGAUGAUCAGCCACAUUGGGACUGAGACACGGCCCAAACUCCUACGGGAGGCAGCAGUGGGGAAUCGUGCGCAAUGGGCGAAAGACUGACGCAGCCAUGCCGCGUGAAUGAUGAAGGUCUUAGGAUUGUAAAAUUCUUUCACCGGGGACGAUAAUGACGGUACCCGGAGAAGAAGCCCCGGCUAACUUCGUG
This 434-nucleotide ribosomal RNA is filed under the name uncultured bacterium. RNAcentral describes it as "partial 16S ribosomal RNA". It matches the Rfam family "Bacterial small subunit ribosomal RNA", at positions 29 to 507 of the family's 1533-position model. The record is from RNAcentral.